AUACUACUCCCUCCGUUCGGAAUUAGUUGUCGCAAAAAUGGAUGUAUCUAGAUGUAUUUUAGUUCUAGAUACAUCCAUUUCCGAGACAAGUAAUUCCGAACGGAGGGAGUGACUU
Molecule: non-coding RNA, 115 nt
Organism: Triticum aestivum (bread wheat)
Lineage: Eukaryota; Viridiplantae; Streptophyta; Magnoliopsida; Poales; Poaceae
Source: Rfam